UACGAAGGGGGCUAGCGUUGCUCGGAAUCACUGGGCGUAAAGCGCACGUAGGCGGAUUGCUAAGUCAGGGGUGAAAUCCUGGAGCUCAACUCCAGAACUGCCUUUGAUACUGGCAAUCUCAAGUCCGGGAGAGGUGAGUGGAACUGCGAGUGUAGAGGUGAAAUUCGUAGAUAUUCGCAAGAACACCAGUGGCGAAGGCGGCUCACUGGCCCGGUACUGACGCUGAGGUGCGAAAGCGUGGGGAGCAAACAGG
This 253-nucleotide ribosomal RNA is filed under the name uncultured bacterium. Its description in RNAcentral is "partial 16S ribosomal RNA". It matches the Rfam family "Bacterial small subunit ribosomal RNA", at positions 524 to 776 of the family's 1533-position model. The record is from RNAcentral.